UCUACUCUUAUGUAGUUAAUAAAAAAAUAAAUAAAAAAUUCUGCUCUGAAAAAAAUGAAGUGACGGCAAGUAAAUAUCGUACAGCUAUUGAGUCCAAGUGAAGAACCUCAUCAUCAAAUGUGACUGAUGUCAAAAUAUGACUUGGAGACGAACAAACUUCAUUUUCUUAUCACAUAGGCCACUUCAGCAAAUCACCAGAUGAACAAAUAUUGUGCAUGGUCAGGCUCACACAUUCGGUGUUUUGGAGACAGAGAGAGCAGACUUGGAUGGUUUGGACACAUCCAGAGGAGAGAGAGUGAGUUUAUCGCUCGAAGGGUGAUGAGGAGGGAGCUGCCGGGCAAGAGAAAUAAAAGAAGACCAGAGAAAAGGUUUAUAGAUGUUGUGAGGGAAGACACGAGGGCAGUUGGCGUUAGAGAGGAGGAUGCAGGAGAUAGGCUCUCACAUUAGAUCUUCUAACAUCUCGGACAUCCUAUAUCAGAUGCUGAAGCCACGUGAGUGUCCCGUUCUCUACAGGUGCGGGGCUGUGACCUCUGGGCAUGACCCUCAAACAUCUCAGACACCCGAUGUCACGUGCUGAAGCCACCUGUCUUGCCAAAAUCCGUGGAACCCACCAUCGACGCGGGGCGAGGCCGAAGGAACAUAUUCACAGGUGUCCCCGAACAUGAUGUCAUGCGACAAAAAACGCGAGGGACCAUGAUGUCACUUUGUUUUCACCGGCUGUGACGACAUUUUGUUUUCACCAGAUCUGACGUCAAUGGGGACAAGGUGGCCCGAGAGGCGACGUCAUCGGACACGUCCGCUGGCAGCGUGCCAAGUGAUGACAUCAUCGGCAAUCCACCAUUUUGUCAUAAAGCCAAUAUUGCCUCUCUCUCUCUCUCGUAUUGAAGAAUUGACAAUAAAAGCACCUUGACCACCUUGACCUUGAUGGUUGCUAAUUUUGUCCAGUGGAGGGAGCACGGAUGACCACUUAACUGACCAUUUACCACUCAAAUGAUGUUCUGCAAUUGGCUGUUUCUCAGGAUUUGACGUUUCAUCUCGAUGCACUUGUGAAAGCAUGAAGAUGCCAUGUUUCAGGAGCAAAGUAGGCCUGCUUUAGAUAAAAUGCACCUCUGCGCUGUGAAGAAGUUCUGUGAAAAUGAAUACCCGCUGUAGAAAUAUUUUACGAGACUGAGAAUGCCAAAAUAUGUCAAUAGCUUCGAUUCAAAAGAGUUUGGGUUGGUGGAAAAAUAUUUUCAUGCACUACCACAACUUGAAUGUGUUCUUACAUUUCAAAGGCAGGGGUACAACUGAGACCCUCACUUUGAAAAGUUCCCACUUUAGUUAGUAUGUUGUGAUGAGUCAUUUGAGGUUGUCGAGAUUUCCAGAUGGAUGUACUCGGAAAGUCGGAGACUUCCACUUCCCCCCGAGCUGGCUUUCAAAGAUGGCUGCCGCGAGUA
Phycodurus eques (leafy seadragon) is the source of this 1436-nucleotide long non-coding RNA. RefSeq lists it as uncharacterized. The transcript has 4 exons. Lineage: Eukaryota; Metazoa; Chordata; Actinopteri; Syngnathiformes; Syngnathidae. The record is from RefSeq and is a predicted model, not a curated record.